RNAcentral lists this ribosomal RNA (253 nucleotides) under uncultured bacterium. RNAcentral describes it as "partial 16S ribosomal RNA". It matches the Rfam family "Bacterial small subunit ribosomal RNA", at positions 524 to 776 of the family's 1533-position model. The record is from RNAcentral.
UACGAAGGGUGCUAGCGUUGUUCGGAAUUACUGGGCGUAAAGCGCACGUAGGCGGCUUGGCAAGUCGGAUGUGAAAUCCCUCGGCUCAACCAAGGAAGUGCAUCCGAAACUGCUGAGCUUGAGUACUUAAGAGGAUCGCGGAAUUCCCGGUGUAGAGGUGAAAUGCGUAGAGAUCCGGAGGAACACCAGAGGCGAAGGCGGCCUACUGGGCUGCACCUGACGCUGAGCCGCGAAAGCUAGGGGAGCGAACGGG